Molecule: unclassified non-coding RNA, 313 nt
Filed under: plant metagenome
Description: partial contains 5.8S ribosomal RNA, internal transcribed spacer 2, and large subunit ribosomal RNA
Rfam family: 5.8S ribosomal RNA (bases 1-105)
Source: RNAcentral
GAAAUGCGAUACGUAGUGUGAAUUGCAGAAUUCAGUGAAUCAUCGUAUCUUUGAACGCACAUUGCGCCCUUUGGUAUUCCAAAGGGCAUGCCUGUUCGAGCGUCAUUUGUACCCUCAAGCUUUGCUUGGUGUUGGGCGUCUUUUGUCUUUGGCCUCGCCCAAAGACUCGCCUUAAAACGAUUGGCAGCCGGCCUACUGGUUUCGCAGCGCAGCACAUUUUUGCGCUUGCAAUCAGCACAAGGACGGCAAUCCAUCAAGACUACAUUUUUACGUUUGACCUCGGAUCAGGUAGGGAUACCCGCUGAACUUAAGC